UACACAUUGCAGGGCACAUAGGCAAAGGUAGGAGUGCCCGCAGCUGCCGCUUGGCUGAGGCGGCCAUUUUGCGGUGGUGCACCUCAUGUGGUGGCCAUUUGCCCGACGCAGCCGUUUGCUUGCAGAGCCACAUCUGUGGUGGCCAUUGACCUGAGGCAGCUAUUUGCUGAGGCUCCCCACACGUGGCCACUUGCCCCAUGCAACCGUUUGCCCAAGGCUCUUCAUGCAUGGUGGCCAUGAGCUGGCUGUUUGCCCAAGGCGUCUCAUGCAGUGGCCGUUUUCUGAGAACCCUGAUCAGGCAGUGUGGAAACCUUCUGAAUGCACAAGGAGGAAAGAAAUCACUGAGAGCAGUGAGAAUAAAGUAUGAGGCUUCAGUAAGUAAGUCAACAGAGAGAAGAGGAGGAAAGGCACACGUCUGGAAGGCUGUUGGAAGUCUGCAAACUGAUGAUCAGGAAGAAGACGGGAAUGAAUAAUAGCAUAAGAAGAGAGACAAUGACCAGAAAAGAAAUGAUGGAAUAAAAGCCCUGUCAUGGACUGCAUUAAUAUCACAAGUAUGCUGGAGCUGAGCAUGAGAGUAUCCAUCCAGCUGUACUGUAAAGCCAUUGCUGCAGUGCUCCUAGAAAUGGUUCAGGAUGCCUAGAGACAAAUGAUAUGGAAAAAGGCCUCCAUGACAGGUCCCUACUGGCACUGACUGUACAAGCAGGAGGACACCUAGGCAGAAGGUCCUGCUGGAUGGAACAUGUCUCAAGGGCAAUCCAAGGAAGGAGAACAUUUGAUAAGCACACGUAGCUCCGGGCAAAGCUCUGUGCAUUCCCAUGGAGCUGUGAUGCCAGGCUCCCAUCUCAAGUAACAUGAGUCAUCACAUAUGGAAACAAGAUCUGCCUACAUGGAAACCCCAGUUUUCUUAACUGACUUUAGAAAGUGGGACAGCUCUGUUUUCAGACUUUUUGUUGAAGGAAGUUGGAUCAUAAGCCCUUAGAAGAUACUUGGAUUUUUUUUUUCUUUCUGUUUUUUACUUCCACCUUGUAAAGUUACACUGCAGGAAUGGCUUGCAAUUGAACUUGCUUCUUGUGUUUGAGGAGUGUUAUGUUUGCUAAUUCAUAACCAUUCACAGAAACUUCUGAGAAAUAAUUUCAUGUUUGUAUGUAAUAAUAUUGUACAAAUACUAAUUGUUUUCACAAAACUAUAAUGUCUGACAGGCACUGAUGUUAAAUAUUCAGUGCUGACAGAUCUGUGAAACGUUAAUGGUUUGCAAAUACAACAUCUACCUAUACUGGAUUUUCUGUUCUGCUUUGUUAUCAUAAACUCUUGAAAGUUUCAAGCUUGUCCUAGCAGGGAGACAGCAAGGAAGUGGAGAUGCUCACAUCUAUGGCAACAAAUUGACUACAGAAAACAAAUUUUGAGAACAGACUCUAAAGUAACUAAUGAAAAAUACCAACUAAGAAAAGCCCAAUCUAGUAAAAUAAGCCCUUCCAGCAGUCGUAUCACAAGUGUUACUUUUAUGUCCUUCUGCUGCAGUAUUCAUUUUGUGCCAUUUACAUUGCUUACUGCUCACCCCUUUGGAGGGUAACAUCUCUCUGAGGCUGGAAGACUGAUUAUGAAUUACUAAAUUGUUCAAAUCAAGCAGUGAGAAACACAACAGGAAAUAAGCACGAGGAACUACAAAAUACUUUUCAGGUUGUUUUUUACUGUGAUAAUGUGGCUAAAAUGAUUUUUAAUGACACAAUACCACUGUUGUCCAUGAUGUACCCUAAUAGUUUCAGUCUUUUCUUAGGCUUGGAACUCUAGGGCCUGGAGCUCUUCUUCCACAAGGUUUUCACAUGUAUGUGCUUGACUUUCAGAGCUCAGAGUUAUUGCAGGGUUGGUUCAGCUGGUCCUGAAAAUGCCUUUACGUGCUGGGGCACAGAAGGGACUCUGCUUUUCCAUAAAGGAGAUCCUUCUGUUGGUGAUCAGCAAGGCUGAAACCUGCUGGAAGGAAAGGAGGGUCGUGAGUGCAGUGCUGAGGAAGGGGCUUUGCAGGCCCUGCCAAAGGGUGCUGCAGUGGGAUCAGUUAAUCCCUUGGGACAACUAAGCACCGCCUGUGAGGCUGAACUUGGGUUCUG
This is a long non-coding RNA of Pseudopipra pipra, 2102 nucleotides long. RefSeq lists it as uncharacterized. The record is from RefSeq and is a predicted model, not a curated record. NCBI's taxonomy places the organism in Eukaryota, Metazoa, Chordata, Aves, Passeriformes, Pipridae. The transcript is spliced from 6 exons.